RNAcentral lists this unclassified non-coding RNA (154 nucleotides) under soil metagenome. RNAcentral describes it as "partial internal transcribed spacer 1". The record is from RNAcentral.
CAGAGUUAUCCAACUCCCAAACCCAUGUGAACUUACCUCUUUGUUGCCUCGGCGCAAGCUACCCGGGACCUCGCGCCCCGGGCGGCCCGCCGGCGGACAAACCAAAACUCUUGUUAUCUUAGUUGAUUAUCUGAGUGUCUUAUUUAAUAAGUCA